GGGCGUUCUCAGAGAAUGACUGUAUAAGACUGAGGAGGCAAAGCUCACGCCAAAAAAUGGAACGGGUGGCCCUCAUGUAAUUUUAGUUCUUAGGCCUUGGUGUCUUCAGCUGUGGUCAUCUGCAGUCUGUUCCCACCAACCCCAGGCGGGACAGCACAGCCGGCCUCGUGCCCUGGCACUUUGGGCUGUGUGUUGUGGUGCUCUAAGUGGCUAGCUGGAUUCAGUGUUGGAACAAAAAGACUGCCCUGAUUUUCCCUCAGAUCUUUUCCUUGUUAUUCAUCUUUACCUCCAGAGCAUCUUUACACGUCUGUAGUGUGGUCUUCCUCUAGGCCCCAGCUUCCCUCAGCUGCUCAGCAGUGGUGGUGAGGUGGCCUCUGUCUGGAAUUCAGGGGAUUCCUUAGAGCGUUUCUUUUGUCCCAGGCCCCAUGACUAAAGUCAAUGGAAAACUACAAGAAACAAAUCCAGGCAGGACCAGCAAUGGCCCAGACCCUUUGGGAAUGUGGGUUGUGGUCCCCCCCGGGCAAUGCAUCAUGACCAGCCCAGGUGCUUGCUGAAGGCAAAGUAGAUAUGAAAUGGAUGAUGGAAGAAGGUAGUCAUAACAACAAGCUAUGAAAAGGUGACCAGCUACAAAAACAAGCAUUUGAUGGUUAUAAAUUUCUUCUUUAAUCUGUUUUCAAUAAGUUUGAGUGCACGAUGUGUGUGUGUAUGUUAAAUUUAUAUCAAAGUGAAAAAACACUGGUGAAAUUGAAUCUAGUUGCAACUGUGGGCCUUUCUUUGCUGACUCUCAGUUCAUUUUUGACCAUUGGAAACCCAAAGAUGUAGUAAAUUGUUCUCCUCUGCCAUGCAGUAGACUCAAGACUUACUAAAUAUUGAUACAUGUGAGGUCAGCUCUCAGAAGCCUCAUAUCCCUGUGAGAGAAACCCCUUGGACACCUCCACCUCCCUCCCAGCCCUGGGCUAGCCCUGGGACCUGGCACUCCCCUUUCUCUUUGGAGGGAAGGUACAGCCUUCUCAGUGUUUCCGUUACCAAAUCACUUGCCUGCAUGGCUGUACCAUGUCAGGAAGGGCCUGGGCUGCUGGUAACCAGCAUUUGUCCUCAGCUUCUGGCUGUCCUGAGAAGGCGCCCUGGCAGAGUCCAGCCUGCAGUGUGUCUGAGUGACACUUGCAGCCAUCGGAAAGGAGAGGAUAACUCCGAAGUGCCAAGCAGCUCAUUUGGGCCUUGUCUUACAGGGUGUUUCCAAGGGAUGAGGUUCAAAAUGCUGUGUGGUAACCCUUUGAAAGCUCCCGGUCAUGGGGUGGGUGCUUGGGGUGAGCCCUGAACAGUGUCCAUUUACCACCAGAUGGGAAGCUUUUCAGUAUUUUACUUGGUAAGGCUGUGUCCAUACAUGUCCAUGGAUCAUCACUUCUGUGGCAUUCCCUGCUGGACUCCACCCACAUUCCUCUCAUGCCUCAUCUUUCAAAGCUCCCAACAGGAAAGGUUCACACCCCCACUGCAUAACCACAGCAUUAGACUGUGGGAAAGAACACGCCAUCCAGGGGCUACAUGCUUUAUGGGCUUGGACCCCACUGCCCCUUUUGGAUGAGUUGGUAGCAACACCAGCGAGUGUGUAAACAGGUGGAUUGUCCACGCCCAUGGGCCUCAGAACCACAUGGGCCCAGAAGUCACCCUGGACAACAAGGGAGACUGUGGGGUCAUUCCUGGCCAGGAUUAUGGUCCCUUAUCCUGGCAAAGCAGAGCACAUGGGUGAUCCAUCAGGCCCAGUCAGGGAGGAGGAACCAGGAUGUAUGUGACAGAUAGCCUGGGGGUAUCUAGGGAAUUUCUGCCUUAAAGGGAAUGGUAUAAGGAAGGCAGGGAUGCUGAGAAUCCUAGUUCACAGGGAACAUCAUGUUUAUGGAAUGAAGCCCAGCUGUAGCCUUAAAAGCUGCAUCACAAAUCUUUUCCCCUGGAUACAUAACAAGCAGGGAAAGGCAUUCCGAGUCAUGCACAACGAUACCAGGAGGAUUCAAGCCUAGGUCAAGGGUGAACACAGGGCCCCCAGAGGGGCCUGAGUGGGGAAGAGUCCUGCCUGCCCUUAGUCCAUCCGCACAGGACCUUCCUCUGGCCUCAUCCUUUCCACAUGCAUGUUUUGAGCUUUUUACAUUAUUUUCCCCACUUAGAGCUUAUGCAAUUCCAGAGAUCAAACUAGAAAACUACAAGUUCCUAAAACCUGCUUAAAAAAAAACCUCAACAAGAGAAGCAGAAAAUAUUCUCUUUUCUUCCAAAGCUGCAGAAAAGCAGGCAAUCUCUUGGGGCAGGACAUAGUCCUGGCUGGGGCUAUUUUCAAGGGCGCCCACAUUCCAGUGGCUGUUGCUCUGCCUGUGAAAGUCCUUCCAACCUCUCAAUUAGGGGAAAUCUGGGGGGCUGCCUGUGCUCCUGGAGCAGGUGAAUGAUACUGAGAUGAACUUGUCCCCUGAGUGAGGGGAACUUGGGUGUGUCCUCACCAGCCAGGGAGGGGCUGUCCCUUCUCCCUUCUCCCAUAUCAAUAAGCUGAUGACCUGGAAAAUUUCUUGAUUCAUGGAGAAUGUGAGAUUCUGUGUCUCACUUACAUGAGCACAGAAAGUGAAAGAACCACAUCACAACUCCCAGGCUGUAAAGGAAACAGGAUUUUAAUAGACUAUUCAUAUCUACUAUUUACUAUUUACAAUUAAUGAAUAUUGUCCCUCCAACAGGAAAAUAGGUGCUGGGGGAGAGAUACAAGGGAGCUGGGGUGGGGUUGUCCCCUCUCUCUUGGGCUUCAGGGGACCCCAGGAAUCAGCUUACAAUGUUCCCCUUCCCAUCAGGUGGGAGGAGCUGGUUCAGUGCAUCCCAGCUGUGACCCCGCUGCUGAGGAUGGGGCUGUGACCUGCCAGUGGUACGAGGCUCAGAGUUGGGGCCUGGUGGCUGAAUAGAAGAGUUGGGUUACCUUGGGGGGCCUCCCCCAGAAUCAUGGCCUUCCUCCCCACCCCUUCUGCACUGCGUGCUCCAGGCCCUGUGUGUAGUGCUGUACAAAUAUGUACCUGAUUUGUCCCUGCCAUGUGAGUGAUCAUUUAGCAUCACCUAUUUCACAGAGGAGUAAACUGAGUCUCAGGAAGCUGAAGGGAAUCUCCCCAGUCACAGGACUGGUCAGUGGUGGGGCUGGGCUCCCAGCGCCAGCUGUCCAGCUCCCUAAGACCAGCUGAGCCUGUAGCUUCACUGAACCCCUAGGAUUCAGUCACGACCAGCCCAGACACUCACUCACCCCUGACUGUGAUGAUGUCCGGUUCUUCUCGGUCUUGAGUAUUCUGUUGGCCGACUAGGACUGGGGCUCCAGUCCAUCGGGAGUCACCUGACAAGCACUGGGUAGUCAUCUGCCUGAGAGACUCCUACCAUCCCCUAAAAGAAGAUAACCUUACAGUAACCAAUCCACUUUCUUGUCUAGUAUAUUUUCCUUGUUCCUGCUCCCUUCUGCCUAGAAAGGUCUUUCAUUUUGUAUAGCCCCUCAGAGCUCCUUUCUCCCUGCUAGAUUGGAUGCUGUCUGAUUCAUGAAUUGUUGAAUAAAGCCAAUAAGAUGUUUAAAAUUGACUUCGUUGAAUUUUGUUUUGUAACAGUUUAGUGACAGCAGUAGGGUCCAAAGGAGGCAUCUGAUGGCUUCAGGGAUGAGAAACCCACAAAACCUUUGAGUCCUCCAUCUUUUUCGCUGUUUCUGAGGGCCAUGGUGCCCUCUCUCUCUUCCUGGGCACCUGACUAGAACAGUACCUGCAGAAUUCCUGGUGGCCCCUGCACUGUCCCCUCUUCAAGCUAAAGGAGCUGUAUGUGUAGGUCACCUUGCCUGGCUCGGACCUGGAUUGCUGUGACCCUCUUCUGGUGGUCCACUUGGA
Equus caballus (horse) is the source of this 3875-nucleotide long non-coding RNA. Lineage: Eukaryota; Metazoa; Chordata; Mammalia; Perissodactyla; Equidae. The record is from Ensembl.